AGUGAACGCUGGCGGUAGGCCUAACACAUGCAAGUCGAACGGCAGCACAGUAAGAGCUUGCUCUUACGGGUGGCGAGUGGCGGACGGGUGAGGAAUACAUCGGAAUCUACUUUUUCGUGGGGGAUAACGUAGGGAAACUUACGCUAAUACCGCAUACGACCUACGGGUGAAAGCAGUGGAUCUUCGGACCUUGCGCGAUUGAAUGAGCCGAUGUCGGAUUAGCUAGUUGGCGGGGUAAAGGCCCACCAAGGCGACGAUCCGUAGCUGGUCUGAGAGGAUGAUCAGCCACACUGGAACUGAGACACGGUCCAGACUCCUACGGGAGGCAGCAGUGGGGAAUAUUGGACAAUGGGCGCAAGCCUGAUCCAGCCAUACCGCGUGGGUGAAGAAGGCCUUCGGGUUGUAAAGCCCUUUUGUUGGGAAAGAAAAGCAGCAGGUUAAUACCCCGCUGUUCUGACGGUACCCAAAGAAUAAGCACCGGCUGACUUCGUG
This 492-nucleotide ribosomal RNA is filed under the name uncultured bacterium. RNAcentral's name for it is "partial 16S ribosomal RNA". It matches the Rfam family "Bacterial small subunit ribosomal RNA", at positions 29 to 507 of the family's 1533-position model. The record is from RNAcentral.